RNAcentral lists this ribosomal RNA (292 nucleotides) under uncultured bacterium. Its description in RNAcentral is "partial 16S ribosomal RNA". It matches the Rfam family "Archaeal small subunit ribosomal RNA", at positions 455 to 747 of the family's 1478-position model. The record is from RNAcentral.
GUGCCAGCCGCCGCGGUAAUACCGGCAACCCAAGUGAUGGCCGCUGUUAUUGGGCCUAAAGCGUCCGUAGCUGGCCGCACAAGUCCGUCGGGAAAUCGCCCGCUCAACGGGCGGCCGUCCGGCGGAACCUGUGUGGCUUGGGACCGGGAGGCCUGAGGGGUACGAUCGGGGUAGGAGUGAAAUCCUGUAAUCCCGCACGGACCACCGAUGGCGAAAGCACUUCGAGAAAACGGAUCCGAUAGUGAGGGACGAAAGCCAGGGUCUCCAACCGGAUUAGAAACCCCGGUAGUCC